CAGCAGCCGCGGAAAUACAGAGGGUGCAAGCGUUAAUCGGAAUUACUGGGCGUAAAGCGCACGCAGGCGGUCUGUCAAGUCAGAUGUGAAAUCCCCGGGCUUAACCUGGGAACUGCAUUUGAAACUGGCAGGCUAGAGUCUUGUAGAGGGGGGUAGAAUUCCAGGUGUAGCGGUGAAAUGCGUAGAGAUCUGGAGGAAUACCGGUGGCGAAGGCGGCCCCCUGGACAAAGACUGACGCUCAGGUGCGAAAGCGUGGGGAGCAAACAGGAUUAGAUACCCCUGUAGUCCCUGUCUCUUAUAA
Molecule: ribosomal RNA, 301 nt
Filed under: uncultured bacterium
Lineage: Bacteria
Description: partial 16S ribosomal RNA
Rfam family: Bacterial small subunit ribosomal RNA
Source: RNAcentral